Molecule: ribosomal RNA, 428 nt
Filed under: Bacteroidota bacterium
Lineage: Bacteria; Pseudomonadati; Bacteroidota
Description: Bacteroidetes bacterium partial 16S ribosomal RNA
Rfam family: Bacterial small subunit ribosomal RNA
Source: RNAcentral
UAGGGAAUCUUCGGCAAUGGGGGGAACCCUGACCGAGCAACGCCGCGUGAGUGAAGAAGGUUUUCGGAUCGUAAAGCUCUGUUGUUAAGGAAGAACGAGUGUGAGAAUGGAAAGUUCAUGCUGUGACGGUACUUAACCAGAAAGGGACGGCUAACUACGUGCCAGCAGCCGCGGUAAUACGUAGGUCCCGAGCGUUGUCCGGAUUUAUUGGGCGUAAAGCGAGCGCAGGCGGUUAGAAAAGUCUGAAGUGAAAGGCAGUGGCUCAACCAUUGUAGGCUUUGGAAACUGUUUAACUUGAGUGCAGAAGGGGAGAGUGGAAUUCCAUGUGUAGCGGUGAAAUGCGUAGAUAUAUGGAGGAACACCGGUGGCGAAGCGGCUCUCUGGUCUGUAACUGACGCUGAGGCUCGAAAGCGUGGGGAGCGAACAGG